Molecule: ribosomal RNA, 543 nt
Filed under: Microbotryum pustulatum
Lineage: Eukaryota; Fungi; Basidiomycota; Microbotryomycetes; Microbotryales; Microbotryaceae
Description: LSU rRNA
Rfam family: Eukaryotic large subunit ribosomal RNA
Source: RNAcentral
GGAUUCCCCUAGUAACGGCGAGUGAAGCGGGAAAAGCUCAAAUUUGUAAUCUGGCACCUUCGGUGCCCGAGUUGUAAUCUCGAGAAGUAUUUUCCGCGUUGGACCGCACAUAAGUCUGUUGGAAUACAGCGUCAUAGUGGUGAGAACCCCGUAUACGGUGCGGAUGCCCAAUGCUUUGUGAUAUACUUUCGAAGAGUCGAGUUGUUUGGGAAUGCAGCUCACAUUGGGUGGUAAAUUCCAUCUAAAGCUAAAUAUUGGCGAGAGACCGAUAGCGAACAAGUACCGUGAGGGAAAGAUGAAAAGCACUUUGGAAAGAGAGUUAACAGUACGUGAAAUUGUUGGAAGGGAAACGCUUGAAGUCAGACUUGCAUUUUGGAGUUCAGACGCAAGGUGUAUUCUUCGAUUCGCAGGCCAGCAUCAGUUUUCGGGGGUGGAAAAGCGCGGUUUGAAGGUAGCAGUUUCGGCUGUGUUAUAGCUUUCCGCUGGAUUCACUUUUGGGGACUGAGGAACGCAGUACGCUUUUUGCAAGACUUUCGAGUUUUU